Non-coding RNA from Characodon lateralis, 89 nucleotides. The record is from the annotation of a GenBank genome assembly. Lineage: Eukaryota; Metazoa; Chordata; Actinopteri; Cyprinodontiformes; Goodeidae.
GAUGGUGUAGGGGUUAAGCACACAACCAUGUACGGAGGCUACAGUCCUUGAGUCGGCUGUCCUGGGUUCGAGUCCCGGACCCGGCAACA